RNAcentral lists this ribosomal RNA (477 nucleotides) under uncultured Candidatus Brocadia sp. Its description in RNAcentral is "bacterial SSU rRNA". It matches the Rfam family "Bacterial small subunit ribosomal RNA", at positions 365 to 832 of the family's 1533-position model. The record is from RNAcentral. Lineage: Bacteria; Pseudomonadati; Planctomycetota; Candidatus Brocadiia; Candidatus Brocadiales; Candidatus Brocadiaceae.
UUCGCAAUGCCCGAAAGGGUGACGAAGCGACGCCGCGUGUGGGAAGAAGGCCUUCGGGUUGUAAACCACUGUCGGGAGCUAAGAAAUGCAAGGAUAUUAAUAGUGUCUUUGUUUGACUAAGGCUCCGGAGGAAGCCACGGCUAACUCUGUGCCAGCAGCCGCGGUAAUACAGAGGCGGCAAGCGUUGUUCGGAAUUAUUGGGCGUAAAGAGCACGUAGGCGGCUAUGUAAGUCGGUUGUGAAAGCCUUCCGCUCAACGGAAGAACAGCAUCCGAUACUACAUGGCUUGAGUGCGGGAGGGGAGAGUGGAACUUCUGGUGGAGCGGUGAAAUGCGUAGAUAUCAGAAGGAACGCCGGCGGCGAAAGCGGCUCUCUGGCCCAUAACUGACGCUGAGUGUGCGAAAGUUAGGGGAGCAAACGGGAUUAGAUACCCCGGUAGUCCUAACUGUAAACGAUGGGCACUAAGUAGAGGGGUUUU